RNAcentral lists this long non-coding RNA (393 nucleotides) under Panicum hallii. RNAcentral describes it as "long non-coding RNA (PHAL_LNC000185)". Lineage: Eukaryota; Viridiplantae; Streptophyta; Magnoliopsida; Poales; Poaceae. The record is from RNAcentral.
AUCAACCAGGCUGCGGUUUGACUUUGCAGAAACAAUAACUAAUUAACCAAACACAUACUGGUACUGCAUCUAUGCAGGCACAUUUGUACUCAUGCGUGCAAGGACAAACCUAAUACUCAAAUAUAUUAGAGCAACUCCAGCAGAAACCCUAUUCAAAUCCAUACUCAAAAAAUAGGAAUAGAUGGCCAAAAAUUAACUCCAACAAAAUAUCUAUUCCGAUCCCUAGGUCCGUAGAGUAUGGAGGCUCUCAGGUUUUCACCUUCGCCCCUUCUCCCACGGGUGGGAAGGGAGGCCCUGCGCGGUGGUUGCGGCCGUUUUUCACCCGCACGUGCAUGGAAUCCAUUCAAGCUCGUGCUCCGCCGCUGGAUUCCACCGGCCCCCGCUUAAUUCCCC